UGUGAGUGUGUCUGUGGGCGUGGGUGUUUCUCAAAAUGCAUACCACCGUUCUCCGAGCACGCAAAUUGGAGCACGCAUCAGUCCAAAUCAAAGUAUGCUAAAUGGAGCACGGAGGAGUUUCAACGGUAAGCUUCAACGCAAACCACAACUGAUCACCUGUAGUCAUUGUGAAGACCCCGAAGAGAUACCUACACUAACAGACAGCGCCACGACAGCAGCUCUAAGUGCUUCCUCCCGCUGAAUAACCAUGGAUCAUGACGAGGGGUCAGGCCUACGUGAUGGAGCAACCUGGGUCUCCAGCUGCCGAGCCCCUCUCUGUGAUGGGUGUCUGGGGAGCAGGUAUAUCUGCGUGGCCCCAAGGAUCUCCAGGAGCUCCCACUGACAGAAUGCUAUCCCCAAUGCUGACAUUCAUUUUUCUUUAUCUGCUCCAAUCACUACCCUGCAGGCCAAACGAUUAGUUGAAUGUGGAACGUUCUAUCAACAUGUCAUUUUUUCAACAUACUGAUGUUGGAUGU
This is a long non-coding RNA of Oncorhynchus tshawytscha (Chinook salmon), 515 nucleotides long. RefSeq lists it as uncharacterized. NCBI's taxonomy places the organism in Eukaryota, Metazoa, Chordata, Actinopteri, Salmoniformes, Salmonidae. The transcript has 3 exons. The record is from RefSeq and is a predicted model, not a curated record.